This 1020-nucleotide ribosomal RNA is filed under the name uncultured bacterium. RNAcentral's name for it is "bacterial SSU rRNA". It matches the Rfam family "Bacterial small subunit ribosomal RNA", at positions 356 to 1376 of the family's 1533-position model. The record is from RNAcentral.
GGGGAAUCUUCCGCAAUGGGCGAAAGCCUGACGGAGCAAUGCCGCGUGAGUGAAGAAGGCCUUCGGGUUGUAAAGCUCUAUCGUAGCCGAAGAGAGGUGGGGAUAGUAACUGAUUCACACAGGACGGUAGGCUACAAGGAAGCCCCGGCUAACUAUGUGCCAGCAGCCGCGGUAAAACAUAGGGGGCAAGCGUUGUCCGGAAUCACUGGGUGUAAAGGGAGCGCAGGCGGGAAGACAAGUUGGAAGUGAAAACCAUGGGCUCAACCCAUGAAUUGCUUUCAAAACUGUUUUUCUUGAGUAGUGCAGAGGUAGAUGGAAUUCCCGGUGUAGCGGUGGAAUGCGUAGAUAUCGGGAGGAACACCAGUGGCGAAGGCGGUCUACUGGGCACCAACUGACGCUGAGGCUCGAAAGCAUGGGUAGCAAACAGGAUUAGAUACCCUGGUAGUCCAUGCCGUAAACGAUGAUUACUAGGUGUUGGGGGAUUGACCCCCUCAGUGCCGCAGUUAACACAAUAAGUAAUCCACCUGGGGAGUACGACCGCAAGGUUGAAACUCAAAGGAAUUGACGGGGGCCCGCACAAGCAGUGGAGUAUGUGGUUUAAUUCGAAGCAACGCGAAGAACCUUACCAGGUCUUGACAUCCGAUGCAUAGCACAGAGAUGUGUGAAAUCCUUCGGGACAUCGAGACAGGUGGUGCAUGGUUGUCGUCAGCUCGUGUCGUGAGAUGUUGGGUUAAGUCCCGCAACGAGCGCAACCCCUAUUGUUAGUUGCUACGAAAGAGCACUCUAGCGAGACUGCCGUUGACAAAACGGAGGAAGGCGGGGACGACGUCAAAUCAUCAUGCCCCUUAUGUCCUGGGCUACACACGUAAUACAAUGGCGGUCAACAGAGGGAAGCAAAGCCGCGAGGUGGAGCAAAUCCCUAAAAGCCGUCUCAGUUCGGAUUGCAGGCUGCAACUCGCCUGCAUGAAGCUGGAAUUGCUAGUAAUCGCGGAUCAGCAUGCCGCGGUGAAUACGUUCCCG